UGGCACUUGGGGCGGGCGUGGCUUAUACAUGCAAGUCGGAGCGAACUGAUUAGAAGCUUGCUUCUAUGACGUUAGCGGCGGACGGGUGAGUAACACGUGGGCAACCUGCCUGUAAGACUGGGAUAACUUCGGGAAACCGAAGCUAAUACCGGAUAGGAUCUUCUCCUUCAUGGGAGAUGAUUGAAAGAUGGUUUCGGCUAUCACUUACAGAUGGGCCCGCGGUGCAUUAGCUAGUUGGUGAGGUAACGGCUCACCAAGGCAACGAUGCAUAGCCGACCUGAAGAGGCUGAUUUCGACCACACUGGAACUUGAGACACCGCCCAGACUACUACGGAAGGCAGCCAGUAGGAAAUCUUCCGCAAUGGACGAAAGUCCGAACGAGCAACGCCGCGUGAGUGAUGAACGCUUUCGGAGUCGUAAAACUCUGUUGUUAAGGAAGAACAAGUACGAGAGUAACUGCUCGUACCUUGACGGUACCUAACCAGAAAAGCCACGGCUAACUACGUGCCAGCAGCCGCGGUAAUACGUAGGUGGCAAGCGUUAUCCCGGAAUUAUUGGGCGUAAAGCGCGCGCAGGCGGUUUCUUAAGUCUGAUGUGAAAGCCCACGGCUCAACCGUGGAGGGUCAUUGGAAACUGGGGAACUUGAGUGCAGAAGAGAAAAGCGGAAUUCCACGUGUAGCGGUGAAAUGCGUAGAGAUGUGGAGGAACACCAGUGGCGAAGGCGGCUUUUUGGUCUGUAACUGACGCUGAGGCGCGAAAGCGUGGGGAGCAAACAGGAUUAGAUACCCUGGUAGUCCACGCCGUAAACGAUGAGUGCUAAGUGUUAGAGGGUUUCCGCCCUUUAGUGCUGCAGCUAACGCAUUAAGCACUCCGUCCUGGGGAGUACGGUCGCAAGACUGAAACUCAAAGGAAUUGACGGGGGCCCGCACAAGCGGUGGAGCAUGUGGUUUAAUUCGAAAGCAACGCGAAGAACCUUACCAGGUCUUGACAUCCUCUGACAACUUCUAGAGAUAGAGCGUUCCCCUUUCGGGGGGACAGAGUGACAGGUGGUGCAUGGUUGUCGUCAGCUUCGUGUCGUGAGAAUGUUGGGUUAAGUCCCGCAACGAGCGCAACCCUUGAUUCUUAGUUGCCAGCAUUUAGUUGGGCACUCUAAGGUGAACUGCCGGUGACAAACCGGAGGAAGGUGGGGAUGACGUCAAAUCAUCAAUGCCCCUUAAGACCGGACCUACACACGUGCUACAAUGGAUGGUACAAAGGGCUGCAAGACCGCGAGGUCAAGCCAAUCCCAUAAAACCAUUCUCAGUUCGGAUUGUAGGCUGCAACUCGCCUACAUGAAGCUGGAAUCGCUAGUAAUCGCGGAUCAGCAUGCCGCGGUGAAUACGUUCCCGGGCCUUGUACACACCGCCCGUCACACCACGAGAGUUUGUAACACCCGAAGUCGGUGGAGUAACCGUAAGGAGCUAGCCGCCUAAGUUGACCCGGAAUUU
This 1487-nucleotide ribosomal RNA is filed under the name Bacillus sp. (in: firmicutes). Its description in RNAcentral is "bacterial SSU rRNA". It matches the Rfam family "Bacterial small subunit ribosomal RNA". The record is from RNAcentral. Lineage: Bacteria; Bacillati; Bacillota; Bacilli; Caryophanales; Bacillaceae.